This 653-nucleotide ribosomal RNA is filed under the name uncultured bacterium. Its description in RNAcentral is "bacterial SSU rRNA". It matches the Rfam family "Bacterial small subunit ribosomal RNA", at positions 28 to 698 of the family's 1533-position model. The record is from RNAcentral.
GACGAACGCUGGCGGCGUGCCUAACACAUGCAAGUCGAACGGGACCGGGGCAACUCCGGUUCAGUGGCGAACGGGUGCGUAACACGUGAGGAACCUGUCUUUCGGCGGGGAUAGCCGGCCCAACGGCCGGGUAAUACCGCGUACGCUCUUCGGGGGCAGUCUCCUGGAGAGGAAAGCAGCAAUGCACCGAAAGAGGGCCUCGCGGCCUAUCAGCUAGUUGGUGAGGUCAUGGCUCACCAAGGCGACGACGGGUAGCUGGUCUGAGAGGAUGGCCAGCCACAUUGGGACUGAGACACGGCCCAGACUCCUACGGGAGGCAGCAGUGGGGAAUCUUGCGCAAUGGGCGAAAGCCUGACGCAGCGACGCCGCGUGUGGGAUGACGGCCUUCGGGUUGUAAACCACUGUCGGGAGGGGCGAAGCUCUGACGGUACCUCCAAAAGGAAGCACCGGCUAACUCUGUGCCAGCAGCCGCGGUAAUACAGAGGGUGCGAGCGUUGUCCGGAAUCACUGGGCGUAAAGGGCGCGUAGGCGGCCUGAUAAGUCGGGGGUGAAAUCCUGUGGCUUAAACCACAGGGCUGCCUCCGAGACUAUCGGGCUCGAGCACAGUAGAGGCAGGUGGAAUUCCCGGUGUAGCGGUGGAAUGCGUAGAGAUC